Arachis duranensis is the source of this 104-nucleotide small nucleolar RNA. The record is from RefSeq and is a predicted model, not a curated record. NCBI's taxonomy places the organism in Eukaryota, Viridiplantae, Streptophyta, Magnoliopsida, Fabales, Fabaceae.
AUGUCAGCAGGGCAUCUUUUGAUCAACUGCUUGUACCUCUCCCAAGCUUCAUAGAUGAACUCUCCCUCUUUCUGUCUAAAAGUUUGGACUUUCACCCUAAGCUU